GAAGGAAUCAUGGUGGAAUACAGUACAUACCAGCUGGCAAAGUCAUGGGGUCCCAGAAGGCUUUGGCUAAUGGAUGUGACUAUGUUGAUAUGGUUAAGUUGAUUUUACUCCUAUUUUGGCCAAAGACCAGCAUCCUGGAACCAGACCAGAAGUGUAAAGAUCGAAGAGCCAUUGUGACAGGUUCGGUCACAGAGACCCCCUUGGCACUGCCACCUGACAUACUGGGAAUUACUUCUGAGCCCAUUUUCCCUGCCAGCUUGGGACUCCAAAACCCUGUCUUGGU
Molecule: long non-coding RNA, 283 nt
Organism: Dermochelys coriacea (leatherback sea turtle)
Lineage: Eukaryota; Metazoa; Chordata; Testudines; Dermochelyidae
Exons: 3
Source: RefSeq, a predicted model, not a curated record